Molecule: ribosomal RNA, 576 nt
Filed under: Bacillus sp. (in: firmicutes)
Lineage: Bacteria; Bacillati; Bacillota; Bacilli; Caryophanales; Bacillaceae
Description: bacterial SSU rRNA
Rfam family: Bacterial small subunit ribosomal RNA
Source: RNAcentral
AGCAGUAGGGAUCUUCCGCAAUGGACGAAAGUCUGACGGAGCAACGCCGCGUGAGUGAUGAAGGUUUUCGGAUCGUAAAGCUCUGUUGUUAGGGAAGAACAAGUGCCGUUCAAAUAGGGCGGCACCUUGACGGUACCUAACCAGAAAGCCACGGCUAACUACGUGCCAGCAGCCGCGGUAAUACGUAGGUGGCAAGCGUUGUCCGGAAUUAUUGGGCGUAAAGGGCUCGCAGGCGGUUUCUUAAGUCUGAUGUGAAAGCCCCCGGCUCAACCGGGGAGGGUCAUUGGAAACUGGGGAACUUGAGUGCAGAAGAGGAGAGUGGAAUUCCACGUGUAGCGGUGAAAUGCGUAGAGAUGUGGAGGAACACCAGUGGCGAAGGCGACUCUCUGGUCUGUAACUGACGCUGAGGAGCGAAAGCGUGGGGAGCGAACAGGAUUAGAUACCCUGGUAGUCCACGCCGUAAACGAUGAGUGCUAAGUGUUAGGGGGUUUCCGCCCCUUAGUGCUGCAGCUAACGCAUUAAGCACUCCGCCUGGGGAGUACGGUCGCAAGACUGAAACUCAAAGGAAUUGACGGG